AUACAUCCUAGGAGAGAAAAACAUGGGAUUCUAAAAAUAGUAUCCCCAAAGCAUAUGCUCUUAAAAUCAGUACAUGCUCUGUAUAGUGACGUCUGUUGGAAAAAGAAAUACUGGAACGAAUUAUAAGGCACAUGGAUUUAAACCAUAAGGCUGAAUGACCGGACCACCGCAACAGCAACACUGGCGGGAACUGUGGUUGAGUCCUAAGGGCCAUCACCGUCCACGGUGCAACCCUCCCCUAAGGAAGUACGUCCCGUCAUCGAUGGGAGGAGCCAGAUCCCCCACCUAUUUGUGUACCCUCCAGGGUGGCGAGAUCCAACCACCAUGCCGGAAGCAUAUCAUCCUCAUUUCGAGGUGCCCCCCCCUGGGGGGUUUACAUAUACGAGAAAGGUUAUUUGAAGUGAAAGGUCUAUGCUAAAAGUACGCGUGCAUUAAAGGAGGGCAUCAACGAAAUCAACGUUGCAUCAACGAAAUUCAGCCACAUUUAUGUAAAAUCAUCAUGGGAAAUUUCGACAAAAG
Molecule: long non-coding RNA, 519 nt
Organism: Argiope bruennichi
Lineage: Eukaryota; Metazoa; Arthropoda; Arachnida; Araneae; Araneidae
Exons: 3
Source: RefSeq, a predicted model, not a curated record